This 912-nucleotide ribosomal RNA is filed under the name Stereum armeniacum. Its description in RNAcentral is "eukaryotic LSU rRNA". It matches the Rfam family "Eukaryotic large subunit ribosomal RNA", at positions 62 to 960 of the family's 3401-position model. The record is from RNAcentral. Lineage: Eukaryota; Fungi; Basidiomycota; Agaricomycetes; Russulales; Stereaceae.
AAACUAACAAGGAUUCCCCUAGUAACUGCGAGUGAAGCGGGAAAAGCUCAAAUUUAAAAUCUGGCGGUCUUCUGGCCGUCCGAGUUGUAGUCUGGAGAAGCGUUUUCCGCGUUGGACCGUGUACAAGUUUCCUGGAACGGAGCGUCAUAGAGGGUGAGAAUCCCGUCUUUGACACGGAUCCCAAUGCUUUGUGAUGCGCUCUCAAAGAGUCGAGUUGUUUGGGAAUGCAGCUCAAAAUGGGUGGUGAAUUCCAUCUAAAGCUAAAUAUUGGCGAGAGACCGAUAGCGAACAAGUACCGUGAGGGAAAGAUGAAAAGCACUUUGGAAAGAGAGUUAAACAGUACGUGAAAUUGUUGAAAGGGAAACGCUUGAAGUCAGUCGCGUCGGCCGGGACUCAGCCUUGCAUCCGCUUGGUGUACUUUCCGGUCGACGGGCCAGCAUCAGUUUCGACCGCGAGAUAAAGGCGGAGGGAAUGUGGCUCUCUCGGGAGUGUUAUAGCCCUUCGUCAGAUGUCGCGGUUGGGACUGAGGAACUCAGCACGCCUUUAUGGCCGGGGCUCGCCCACGUACGUGCUUAGGAUGCUGGCGUAAUGGCUUUAAACGACCCGUCUUGAAACACGGACCAAGGAGUCUAACAUGCCUGCGAGUGUUCGGGUGGAAAACCCGUGCGCGCAAUGAAAGUGAAAGUUGGGAUCCCUGUCGUGGGGUGCACCGACGCCCGGCCCAGACCUUUUGUGACGGAGCUGCGGUAGAGCAUGUAUGUUGGGACCCGAAAGAUGGUGAACUAUGCCUGAAUAGGGUGAAGCCAGAGGAAACUCUGGUGGAGGCUCGUAGCGAUUCUGACGUGCAAAUCGAUCGUCAAAUUUGGGUAUAGGGGCGAAAGACUAAUCGWACCAUNUAGUAGCUGGUUCCGN